UACUGCAGUCUUCCUUUGGAAUGUUGACUGCUAAUUUUUCUGAGCUUGUUCAUUUUUAAUUACUUAUGAUUAUGAUGUAUUAUUCUUGAAAAGAAGCAUAUGUUGGAGCUAGUGAGACUUAGAUGUGGUGUUUUAAAGACCAAAACCAGAAGCGUGAUGUAACCGUGAUUUGUUCAAUAUAUUGUAAGAUGUAGUUUUAGUAUAACUCAUUUACAUAACGUCACAACAUAGGGAACAUUCUCAGGUAAGACGGCGAGUGUAGUGAUGGGCUCAUUAUUUCAAUAGAGCUCGGUAUUUCAAGAGAAUAUUGCAACUGUUAAGAUGCUGCUCCUUUCAAGCAGGAUGAUCACAAGAUUUAUAUAUGACUUAGUUUUUUCUAGGCCAGUCCGUAAAGCCCAAUAAGAAUUCUUUGGUUUCUUUCAUUUCUUACAUUUAUUGUUUGUCCUUCACUCCUCACUCUAAUUAUUAUAUUAUUUGACUAAAAGGGGCUUUGCCUAUAAGCUCUGUGAUUUUAAAUAUUACAUUUCUCUUUUUUAAUAUUAAAAUUUUGUCAUUUUUUAUUUAUUAUUAUUGCUUUUUCUGCUGUUCUUGUGAGAUAUAAUGUUUGUUGCUAAUUCUAUAUGACUGAUUUUCCAGAAUUUUGGUUCAAGAACAGACACGGUUUUCUGUGGCGUUUUUGAUGGCCAUGGUCCAUAUGGUCAUAUGGUUGCAAAGAGGGUGAGGGAUUCCCUUCCCCUAAAACUGAGUGCACACUGGGAAGUCAAUAUCAAUGAGGAUGUACUCAAAGAGAUCAGCCUUAACACCACCGGAAGCAUGAACUCCGAAGAUACUGCCUUCAUAUCUGCCGAUGAGGAAUCCAGGCCCUCUAUUGAUCUUGAAGAAACAGAAAAGCAGCCUGAGAUCUUUCAGGCACUGAAAGAAUCAUUUCUGAAGGCUUUCAAAGUCAUGGACAGGGAGCUGAGAAUGCAUACAAAUAUAGAUUGCUUCUGUAGUGGGACAACAGCGGUUACUCUGGUCAAGCAGGUAUGAUCUCAUAAGCAUUCCGAACUUGAUUCAGAUAGGAUUCUCUGACAUGGACUUUAUUUUUCCUAAUAACAAUUGCCUUGGCUGUUUUUAUAUAGGGUCAGGAUCUUGUCAUUGGAAAUGUUGGGGACUCCCGGGCUGUAUUGGGUACCAGAGAUAAGGACGGUUAUCUUGUUGCCAUUCAGUUGACCGUCGAUCUCAAACCAAAUCUUCCAGGUUUCUCUCUUUCUCUCUCUCUGUUUGUGUGUAUAAAAUCCAAUUUCACUCCCACUAAAAUGCUUGCAACUGUUUAUUUAUUUAUUUUUUUAACUUUAAAGAUUAGUAAGUAGUGAGCUGCUCAAAACCAGUAUAGGUAAUUGGUGAUUGAAAACACAGCCAUAUUUCCUUUCAUAUGAAAACAUAGCCUGGUUGCUUCUGAGAAAAGGACAAAAAGAAAGGUUGUUUCUUUUGCAGAGAAUACAUCCAAAUUGAAUUAUUGGAGUCUGGCUUGGAAGCUUGGUGAGAUUUGGUCAUACUUUGGUUCACAUGUAGCACAUGCACAUGUUACUUGUGAACAUACAGAAAGAACAGAGUGGUUGCUCCCUGUUAGGAGAGAAUUUGACCUGACAGCAUUAGAUACAUCAUUCAGCAAUGAGGGUCCGAUCAACUAAAGCAACUAAGUGUUGAAAUAUUUUGAGUUAUACAUCAUCAUGAUGAAAAGGAAUGUGGAAAAUUAUAGGCUGAAUGUACAGAUUGGGAGAAAAAACUCCACAGUAGAGGUUCCUUGUUAAGAAUGUACAGUUUACAUGUUACAGAUACAGCCUAAUAGAGACUUGAAGGUGCAUCAAGAGGAGCUUGGAAUCCAAUAGUUAGAUCAUGUCUGUCAUAGACAAGACACUGCACAUGCUAGUAUAUAAAAGAUAGGGAAAAAAAAAAUCUACUUAUAACCCUGUAUUCUCACCCAGCCAAAUGAUGGUUGUUAUUCAUUUAUUUUUUAUUUGUAAAAGCUAUCCAUUAAUGGUCAGAAAACUCUCUCCUAGUUAUGUAGUUCUUGCAUAAUUCUUUUUGUUCUUUCAUUAUAGGGGAAGCAGAGAGAAUUCGAAGAUUCAAAGGGCGUGUUUUUGCCCUUCAGGAUGAACCUGAGGUUGCCAGAGUCUGGCUGCCAAACAAUGAUUCCCCUGGUCUUGCCAUGGCCCGGGCUUUCGGAGAUUUCUGCCUCAAGGAUUUUGGUCUGAUCUCUGUGCCUGAAAUUUCUUAUCGGCGCCUCUCUGAGAAGGAUGAAUUUGUCGUCUUGGCUACAGAUGGGGUAAAGAAGCAAGGCAUUUAGUUUGCUGAGUGGAUUUAUCAUUUCUGUUCAGGACUAAAGUUUACAUGAAUAUUUAUUCACAGGUCUGGGAUGUGCUCUCCAACAAAGAAGUGGUAGACAUUGUAGCUUCGGCCUCAUCGCGUUCCACUGCAGCUCGAACCCUGGUUGAGACUGCAGUAAGAGCUUGGAGGCUCAAAUACCCAACUUCCAAAGUUGAUGACUGUGCUGUAGUUUGCCUCUUCCUCAAUUCCAACACAAACAAUUUUUCUACUGCUUCCACCAAAUCCAAAGAGCAGGUGACACCAUUGGAACAAACGGACGCUGGCAUUGAGAAAGAUCUCUUAGGCCCGACUGGAUUGGACCGCUCAGGAACUGUUCGAACGGGCAAAGAGAUCCAUCCAGAAGAUAGCCAAGAGGAAGCAUCAAAGCAGGAAGAGUUUCAUACGGAGUCAGGCAUAGAAUGGUCUGCUCUUGAGGGAGUGUCUCGGGUAAACACCCUUCUGACUCUGCCAAGGUUUGUGCCUGGAAAAGAUGACAAAAAAGUCUCUGGAAAAACCUCCUAAAUAAUCCCAAGGGAGAGGAAGGGAUUAGUUUGGCUUUGAUUGAUUUUCUUCAUUGUUGAUUUUUUUUCAUCG
Molecule: long non-coding RNA, 2943 nt
Filed under: Vitis vinifera (wine grape)
Lineage: Eukaryota; Viridiplantae; Streptophyta; Magnoliopsida; Vitales; Vitaceae
Description: long non-coding RNA (VVIN_LNC001142)
Source: RNAcentral